RNAcentral lists this ribosomal RNA (876 nucleotides) under Salmonella enterica. Its description in RNAcentral is "partial 23S ribosomal RNA". It matches the Rfam family "Bacterial large subunit ribosomal RNA", at positions 2058 to 2925 of the family's 2925-position model. The record is from RNAcentral. Lineage: Bacteria; Pseudomonadati; Pseudomonadota; Gammaproteobacteria; Enterobacterales; Enterobacteriaceae.
GAUGCAGUGUACCCGCGGCAAGACGGAAAGACCCCGUGAACCUUUACUAUAGCUUGACACUGAACAUUGAGCCUUGAUGUGUAGGAUAGGUGGGAGGCUUUGAAGUGUGGACGCCAGUCUGCAUGGAGCCGACCUUGAAAUACCACCCUUUAAUGUUUGAUGUUCUAACGUGGACCCGUGAUCCGGGUUGCGGACAGUGUCUGGUGGGUAGUUUGACUGGGGCGGUCUCCUCCUAAAGAGUAACGGAGGAGCACGAAGGUUGGCUAAUCCUGGUCGGACAUCAGGAGGUUAGUGCAAUGGCAUAAGCCAGCUUGACUGCGAGCGUGACGGCGCGAGCAGGUGCGAAAGCAGGUCAUAGUGAUCCGGUGGUUCUGAAUGGAAGGGCCAUCGCUCAACGGAUAAAAGGUACUCCGGGGAUAACAGGCUGAUACCGCCCAAGAGUUCAUAUCGACGGCGGUGUUUGGCACCUCGAUGUCGGCUCAUCACAUCCUGGGGCUGAAGUAGGUCCCAAGGGUAUGGCUGUUCGCCAUUUAAAGUGGUACGCGAGCUGGGUUUAGAACGUCGUGAGACAGUUCGGUCCCUAUCUGCCGUGGGCGCUGGAGAACUGAGGGGGGCUGCUCCUAGUACGAGAGGACCGGAGUGGACGCAUCACUGGUGUUCGGGUUGUCAUGCCAAUGGCACUGCCCGGUAGCUAAAUGCGGAAGAGAUAAGUGCUGAAAGCAUCUAAGCACGAAACUUGCCCCGAGAUGAGUUCUCCCUGAGACUUAGAGUCUCCUGAAGGAACGUUGAAGACGACGACGUUGAUAGGCCGGGUGUGUAAGCGCAGCGAUGCGUUGAGCUAACCGGUACUAAUGAACCGUGAGGCUUAACCUUACA